RNAcentral lists this ribosomal RNA (440 nucleotides) under uncultured bacterium. Its description in RNAcentral is "partial 16S ribosomal RNA". It matches the Rfam family "Bacterial small subunit ribosomal RNA", at positions 338 to 795 of the family's 1533-position model. The record is from RNAcentral.
CCUACGGGAGGCUGCAGUAGGGAAUAUUGCUCAAUGGGGGAAACCCUGAAGCAGCAACGCCGCGUGGAGGAUGAAGGUUUUCGGAUUGUAAACUCCUUUUGUUAGAGAAGAUAAUGACGGUAUCUAACGAAUAAGCACCGGCUAACUCCGUGCCAGCAGCCGCGGGAAUACGGAGGGUGCAAGCGUUACUCGGAAUCACUGGGCGUAAAGAGCGCGUAGGCGGGAUAGCAAGUCAGAUGUGAAAUCCUAUGGCUUAACCAUAGAACUGCAUUUGAAACUGUUAUUCUAGAGUAUGGGAGAGGUAGGUGGAAUUCUUGGUGUAGGGGUGAAAUCCGUAGAGAUCAAGAGGAAUACUCAUUGCGAAGGCGACCUGCUAGAACAUAACUGACGCUGAUGCGCGAAAGCGUGGGGAGCAAACAGGAUUAGAUACCCCAGUAGUC